Molecule: unclassified non-coding RNA, 338 nt
Filed under: soil metagenome
Description: partial contains 5.8S ribosomal RNA, internal transcribed spacer 2, and large subunit ribosomal RNA
Rfam family: 5.8S ribosomal RNA (bases 1-120)
Source: RNAcentral
GAUGAAGAACGUAGCGAAAUGCGAUAAGUAGUGUGAAUUGCAGAAUUCAGUGAAUCAUCGAAUCUUUGAACGCACAUUGCGCCCCUUGGUAUUCCAUGGGGCAUGCCUGUUCGAGCGUCAUUUGAACCUUCAAGCUCUGCUUGGUGUUGGGUGUUUUGUCUCGCCUCUGCGUGUAGACUCGCCUUAAAACAAUUGGCAGCCGGCGUAUUGAUUUCGGAGCGCAGUACAUCUCGCGCUUUGCACUCAUAACGGCGACGUCCAAAAGUACAUUUUUACACUCUUGACCUCGGAUCAGGUAGGGAUACCCGCUGAACUUAAGCAUAUCAAUAAGCGGAGGA